This 301-nucleotide ribosomal RNA is filed under the name uncultured bacterium. Its description in RNAcentral is "partial 16S ribosomal RNA". It matches the Rfam family "Bacterial small subunit ribosomal RNA", at positions 509 to 809 of the family's 1533-position model. The record is from RNAcentral.
CAGCCGCCGCGGUAAUACAGAGGGUGCAAGCGUUAAUCGGAAUUACUGGGCGUAAAGCGCGCGUAGGUGGUUUGUUAAGUUGGAUGUGAAAUCCCCGGGCUCAACCUGGGAACUGCAUCCAAAACUGGCAAGCUAGAGUAUGGUAGAGGGUGGUGGAAUUUCCUGUGUAGCGGUGAAAUGCGUAGAUAUAGGAAGGAACACCAGUGGCGAAGGCGACCACCUGGACUGAUACUGACACUGAGGUGCGAAAGCGUGGGGAGCAAACAGGAUUAGAUACCCCCGUAGUCCCUGUCUCUUAUAA